GACGAACGCUGGCGGCGUGCCUAAUACAUGCAAGUAGAACGCACAGUUUAUACCGUAGCUUGCUCCACCAUAAACUGUGAGUUGCGAACGGGUGAGUAACGCGUAGGUAACCUGCCUGGUAGCGGGGGAUAACUAUUGGAAACGAUAGCUAAUACCGCAUAAUAUUGAUUAUUGCAUGAUAAUUGAUUGAAAGAUGCUAUUGCAUCACUACCAGAUGGACCUGCGUUGUAUUAGCUAGUAGGUGAGGUAACGGCUCACCUAGGCGACGAUACAUAGCCGACCUGAGAGGGUGAUCGGCCACACUGGGACUGAGACACGGCCCAGACUCCUACGGGAGGCAGCAGUAGGGAAUCUUCGGCAAUGGACGAAAGGCUGACCGAGCAACGCCGAGUGAGUGAAGAAGGUUGUCGGAUCGUAAAGCUCUGUUGUAAGAGAAGAACGGGUGUGAGAGUGGAAAGUUCACACUGUGACGGUAUCUUACCAGAAAGGGACGGCUAACUACGUG
RNAcentral lists this ribosomal RNA (505 nucleotides) under uncultured bacterium. Its description in RNAcentral is "partial 16S ribosomal RNA". It matches the Rfam family "Bacterial small subunit ribosomal RNA", at positions 28 to 507 of the family's 1533-position model. The record is from RNAcentral.